This 447-nucleotide ribosomal RNA is filed under the name uncultured bacterium. Its description in RNAcentral is "partial 16S ribosomal RNA". It matches the Rfam family "Bacterial small subunit ribosomal RNA", at positions 29 to 523 of the family's 1533-position model. The record is from RNAcentral.
AACGAACGCUGGCGGCAGGCUUAACACAUGCAAGUCGAGCGCCCCGCAAGGGGAGCGGCAGACGGGUGAGUAACGCGUGGGAAUCUACCUAUCUCUACGGAACAACUCCGGGAAACUGGAGCUAAUACCGUAUACGUCCUUCGGGAGAAAGAUUUAUCGGAGAUGGAUGAGCCCGCGUUGGAUUAGCUAGUUGGUGGGGUAAUGGCCUACCAAGGCGACGAUCCAUAGCUGGUCUGAGAGGAUGAUCAGCCACACUGGGACUGAGACACGGCCCAGACUCCUACGGGAGGCAGCAGUGGGGAAUAUUGGACAAUGGGCGAAAGCCUGAUCCAGCCAUGCCGCGUGAGUGAUGAAGGCCCUAGGGUUGUAAAGCUCUUUCGCAGGUGAAGAUAAUGACGGUAACCUGAGAAGAAGCCCCGGCUAACUUCGUGCCAGCAGCCGCGGUAA